RNAcentral lists this ribosomal RNA (437 nucleotides) under Helcococcus sp. canine oral taxon 069. RNAcentral's name for it is "bacterial SSU rRNA". It matches the Rfam family "Bacterial small subunit ribosomal RNA", at positions 9 to 456 of the family's 1533-position model. Lineage: Bacteria; Bacillati; Bacillota; Tissierellia; Tissierellales; Peptoniphilaceae. The record is from RNAcentral.
GAGUUUGAUUCUGGCUCAGGACAAACGCUGGCGGCGUGCAUAACACAUGCAAGUCGAACGAAAUCUACAUGAUUUAGUGGCGAACGGGUGAGUAACACGUGAGAAACCUGCCUUACACAGAGGGAUAGCCGUUGGAAACGACGAUUAAUACCUCAUGACACCGUGACAUCGCAUGAUGAUGCGGUCAAAGAUUUAUCGGUGUAAGAUGGUCUCGCGCCUGAUUAGCUGGUUGGUGGGGUAACGGCCUACCAAGGCGACGAUCAGUAGCCGAUCUGAGAGGGUGGACGGCCACAUUGGGACUGAGACACGGCCCAAACUCCUACGGGAGGCAGCAGUGGGGAAUUUUGCACAAUGGGGGAAACCCUGAUGCAGCGACGCCGCGUGAACGAAGAAGGCCUUCGGGUUGUAAAGUUCUGUCCUUGGUGAAGAUAAUGACA